RNAcentral lists this ribosomal RNA (351 nucleotides) under uncultured cyanobacterium. RNAcentral describes it as "bacterial SSU rRNA". It matches the Rfam family "Bacterial small subunit ribosomal RNA", at positions 104 to 483 of the family's 1533-position model. The record is from RNAcentral. Lineage: Bacteria; Bacillati; Cyanobacteriota.
GGGUGAGUAACACGUGAGAAUUUGCCUUUAGGAGGGGGAUAACAAUUGGAAACGACUGCUAAUACCCCAUAUGCUUUCGAGUGAAAUGAAUUAUUUCGCCUAGAGAGAAGCUCGCGGCUGAUUAGCUUGUUGGUAGGGUAAGUGCCUACCAAGGCGACGAUCAGUAUCUGGUUUGAGAGGACGAUCAGACACACUGGAACUGAGACACGGUCCAGACUCCUACGGGAGGCAGCAGUGGGGAAUUUUCCGCAAUGGGCGAAAGCCUGACGGAGCAAUACCGCGUGAGGGAAGAAUGCCUAUGGGUUGUAAACCUCUUUUUUCAGGGAGGAAUAAAAAUGACGUGUACCUGAA